This 494-nucleotide ribosomal RNA is filed under the name uncultured bacterium. RNAcentral describes it as "partial 16S ribosomal RNA". It matches the Rfam family "Bacterial small subunit ribosomal RNA", at positions 28 to 507 of the family's 1533-position model. The record is from RNAcentral.
GACGAACGCUGGCGGCGUGCUUAACACAUGCAAGUCGAACGGAAAGGCCUGCUUUCCCUUGUGGAUUGCGUGUACUCGAGUGGCGAACGGGUGAGUAACACGUGAGUGAUCUGCCCCCAACUUGGGUAUAAGCCUGGGAAACUGGGUCUAAUUCCCGAUAGGACUGCAGGGUGGUGCCUGUGGUGGAAAACGAUUUUCUAGUGGUUGGGGAUGAGCUCGCGGCCUAUCAGCUUGUUGGUGGGGUAAUGUCCUACCAAGGCGGCGACGGGUAGCCGGCCUGUGAGGGUGGACGGCCAAAUUGGGACUGAGAUACGGCCCAGACGCCUACGGGCGGCAGCAGUGGGGAAUAAUGGACCAUGGGCGGAAGCCUGAUGCAGCGCCGCAGCGUGGGGGAUGACGGCAUUCGGGUUGUAAACUCCUUUCGACCGCGAGGAAGCCACCUGGUUGGAAGGGUGGUGACGGUAGUGGUAGAAGAAGCACCGGCUAACUACGUG